This 521-nucleotide ribosomal RNA is filed under the name uncultured bacterium. RNAcentral describes it as "bacterial SSU rRNA". It matches the Rfam family "Bacterial small subunit ribosomal RNA", at positions 356 to 896 of the family's 1533-position model. The record is from RNAcentral.
GGGGAAUAUUGCACAAUGGGCGAAAGCCUGAUGCAGCAACGCCGCGUGAACGAUGAAGGUCUUCGGAUCGUAAAGUUCUGUUGCAGGGGAAGAUAAUGACGGUACCCUGUGAGGAAGCCCCGGCUAACUACGUGCCAGCAGCCGCGGUAAUACGUAGGGGGCUAGCGUUAUCCGGAUUUACUGGGCGUAAAGGGUGCGUAGGUGGUCCUUCAAGUCGGUGGUUAAAGGCUACGGCUCAACCGUAGUAAGCCGCCGAAACUGGAGGACUUGAGUGCAGGAGAGGAAAGUGGAAUUCCCAGUGUAGCGGUGAAAUGCGUAGAUAUUGGGAGGAACACCAGUAGCGAAGGCGGCUUUCUGGACUGCAACUGACACUGAGGCACGAAAGCGUGGGUAGCAAACAGGAUUAGAUACCCUGGUAGUCCACGCUGUAAACGAUGAGUACUAGGUGUCGGGGGUUACCCCCCUCGGUGCCGCAGCUAACGCAUUAAGUACUCCGCCUGGGGAGUACGCACGCAAGUGUG